AUCAGUAUGGCAGAUUAGUGCAAUGAACUUAAAAUUCAUAAAUGAAUAUUUAUAUUUUACUGGAA
Molecule: transfer RNA, 65 nt
Filed under: Maiestas dorsalis
Lineage: Eukaryota; Metazoa; Arthropoda; Insecta; Hemiptera; Cicadellidae
Description: tRNA-Leu
Source: RNAcentral